RNAcentral lists this ribosomal RNA (254 nucleotides) under uncultured Nannocystineae bacterium. RNAcentral's name for it is "partial 16S ribosomal RNA". It matches the Rfam family "Bacterial small subunit ribosomal RNA", at positions 1131 to 1382 of the family's 1533-position model. Lineage: Bacteria; Pseudomonadati; Myxococcota; Myxococcia; Myxococcales. The record is from RNAcentral.
UCGGGCACUCUAACGAGGACUGCCGGUGGUAAGCCGGAGGAAGGUGGGGAUGACGUCAAAUCCUCAUGGCCCUUAUGCCCAGGGCUACACACGUACUACAAUGGUCGGGUACAAAGGGCUGCGACCCCGCGAGGGUGAGCCAAUCCCAAAAGCCGACCUCAGUUCGGAUUGUAGUCUGCAACUCGACUACAUGAAGGUGGAAUCGCUAGUAAUCGCGGAUCAGCAUGCCGCGGUCGAAUACGUUCCCGGGCCUU